GAUCGAAUGUCACAUCUUUACUAUAUAAUAGGAGUUCUAUAAAAAAAAUAAUUACAUCAAAAGGAGACAACAGUCCAGCAACCCAAAGUUGACUGGGAGACGACGGCCUAGACCUCUCAUGAACUCGUCACAACAUCCUUCAUGCGCCUUAUCCUGUGGUACCUGUUCUUGACCUGUGGGGGUGUGAGACAGCAAGAGUGAGCUCACAUACGUUCAUCACUCAACAAGUUGUGGGGAAUAAUGUGCAUGAACUCGCCAAAGGUGGGAGCUCACGUGAAGUGUAAGGCUUACCAAAGAGGAUGGUUAGAGCUGAGCAUUGCUUUUAAAGUUGGUCAAAAUUUUAUUAGCAAUUACUAAGUAUAAUUAAAUACCAACCCAAUUAAGUAGUAGAACAAAAGUAACAACCUCACCUGCGAUGCAAUGUAUAUGACAAAUUGAGUUUAAGUUCCAUAAUUUAAUCAUGUGAGUGUCCGAGCUGCUCAUGACCGUGAGCACGGCUAGUAUACCAGUUUUGCACUCUGCAGAGGUUGCGCAUCUUUACCCACAAGUCAUGUUACCCAUAUGCCAAGAGACGGCCAAUCCCAUACACCUCUACCGAGGUGGCGAGGCAGGGUAACACUACGAGGCCUUUACAAAGUUCCACUAGCUUCAGAAAACCCGCUAUAGUUUAUAGGAAGCUCCAGUGCAGGAAUCCCUCGCCUGACCGCCAUCGUAGCAAAAUCAACCAAGGGCCUCCCUACACUGACCACUCCCCUACUGCCCUUGCCCCUUUCGGGUAAGGUAGUCUUCCACUAGCUUUCCUAGUUAGUUAGCCAAGGGCGUCCAUAAACCCUUGUGGUAGCACUGUUUUUCCGGGUGGUUCUCCAUGUUCCAAUUAACAUAAUGAUCUUAUCAUGAACAGUAAUUAACAAACUGAUAACAGAGUAUAAUCAUGAAUAAAGUAUCUCCAUACCCAAAACCACAUAAAGCAAUAGCAAGUACUACCCAAAAAUUCAGUGGUGAACAAGGUAUAAAGAUAGUCAAACUGGGGUAACCUAUUGGGUCCCAUCAAAAUUAACCUAUGCAGAUCAUUAUGAUUAAUCAGAACAUGACUGGGUAAAAAGAAGUGAUCAAGGGCACAACUUGCCUGGGACUUGAGAUUCCAGGUACCAACUUGCUCUUCAGAUGACUCGUAACCUCACUGCUAGUCGUAGCAAUACAAACAAACAUGGUAUAGAUAAAAUUAACAUCACAUCAAACAUAAGAACAAACUGUAUAAUAAUAAUCUACGCGUUGCUACGAGAUCGUAGGAACAAGAAUUACUAAAUUUGGAGUAACGGUUACGAAGUUAUGGUUUUCCGAAGAUCCACGUGGUUGAGUAUAUAAUAGACUAAGUGCAACAUUUUAACCUAUAUUUCAUGACCAAACAAAAUUACUAGAUGAUAAUAAAUAUUAUUGUGAGACUAAUGCAACUAGAAUGGAUCAAAACGUAGUUACGGUUAUUGAGCUAUGAAUUUCUGGAGUUUAUUUAAUGCUUGGUAUAGACUAAUUCAAGUGAACAAUUUUAAUCUAAGUUUCAUAGCUAGACAAAGAUACUAGAUGAUAGAUAAUAUUAAAACAAAACUAUUGCAACCGGAAUGAAUCAAUUUGGAGCUAAAAUGAAUUAAAUAUGAAUUCUACAAGUUUCUAAAUUUAUUUUUAUAUUAAAAAUCCAUUUCUAAUAUUAAUUUCUGAAUAUCCUAAGUGUUCUGGACUGGGCACAAUAUUUCUUAAAAUAUCAGGGGCCUAAAUCACAAUUUUCCCAGGACUCAGUAUUCCCACAGUGUGGACUGCGGGUUUAUUUAAAACAAGUGCGGGGGUUCUUUAUGAAUUAUGCCAUGGCCGAAGGGGUAUGGGGAAAUUAGAGUUGUCCGAUUAGAAACGGGCCGACCAGAUCGUGCCUAGGCAUUAAUGAAGUGGUACGUGCCUACCUACCUUUGGAUCUUGGAUCAGCGAUGCAGAUUUAAGGCGCGAAGGGAUACGUAUCAUCAAAUCUCGACUGUAAUCGAGAGAUCCGACGGCCCAGAUCAAACUGCCACACGCAUUGAUCUCCACCGUUCAUCAGAAAUUGACGAUCACUGGGUCAUCUCCCACCUUCUAUCCAAGCACGACGGC
This 2133-nucleotide long non-coding RNA is filed under the name Zea mays. RNAcentral's name for it is "long non-coding RNA (ZMAY_LNC002923)". Lineage: Eukaryota; Viridiplantae; Streptophyta; Magnoliopsida; Poales; Poaceae. The record is from RNAcentral.